CUGCCUGCAUUUUCCCUGCCUUCUGGCUGCCUGCUUGCCUGCCUUCUGCCUGCCUUCUGCGUGAAGGCAUCUGAGGGUUAAGGUAAAGGAGCUGACAACGCCCUUCAUCUUCUUUCAACUGGGACCAAAGGACAGGCGACAUUUGAGGGUUCCAGAUUUCCUUUGGAGAAAGAGUCGUAUUAUUGAAUGAACAGAACAUAGAGUGCUAGUGUCAUUUUACUUAAAGUUACAAAGAACAAGGUCAGGGUGGAGACAGACCAGAUAGCCUACAGCAGCAGGGAUCAUAAUGCAGACUUUUCUCAGGUAAGGAGAAAUUAUGACUUUUAUUCUUGAAGUAGAACAGUCUUUAAAAACUGGUGUAUGGUUUGAAGUGUCUACUUUUGACAUAAUUUGUAACAGAGUCUCGGAGAAUUAACCACAGAAAGAUGGAGGUUAAAUCACAUGACAGGAUCACAUCCCAUUGUUGUCAGGACAGAGUUUUCAUAGAUAUUUCAAAAGUACUAUUCAUACUCCAAAAU
Molecule: long non-coding RNA, 518 nt
Organism: Austrofundulus limnaeus
Lineage: Eukaryota; Metazoa; Chordata; Actinopteri; Cyprinodontiformes; Rivulidae
Exons: 3
Source: RefSeq, a predicted model, not a curated record